RNAcentral lists this long non-coding RNA (6467 nucleotides) under Phaseolus vulgaris (common bean). Its description in RNAcentral is "long non-coding RNA (PVUL_LNC002501)". The record is from RNAcentral. Lineage: Eukaryota; Viridiplantae; Streptophyta; Magnoliopsida; Fabales; Fabaceae.
UUAAUUUGGAAUUCAAACAUAACAUAAUUAAAGUCUCAUCAUAUAAAAGAUAAACUCAAGUCCACUUGAAAUAUCUAUAAAAAUCCAAACAAACUUCAAACAUAACUAAAGAUACAUAAUUCAAAAGUUAAGUGAACUUGUAAUAUAUUUUGCAAUUUAAAAAAACUACAAACAUAAUCCUAAUAGCCUACAUAAUCAGUAUUGUCAUCUUCUUAUUGCCUAGGUGGUUUCUUUUGCCUUAGUGGUUGCUUUUGCCUUGGUGGUUCUUGUUGCAACGAUACUUGUUCAUAUUGUUGUUGAACGACACUUGGUAUAUCAGAAGGAAGCACGAUCCCAACAAUCAAAACCUAAGAAUAGGUACCUAACUACAUAACACAAAAUAGAGAAAAGGAAAAUGUCAUUAUCAAUCAAUUGUCAAAUUCUAAUGUAUAUUAAAUUAAUUCUAACAAUUUUCCCUGUUUCCUCUUAAUUAUGUAUGAAUCAAUUCCUUCCAAAAGACAUCAAAAAUUGAAAUAAGAAAUAUAUUUGAAUAUUUUUUUUAAAUGCCACCUUUGUGGUUUUAUUAUAGGUUGGCCUAAAAAGGGUUAUAGAUUUGAAUUCCAAUUCCAAUACAUCACAAAAAAGAAAAGAAAAAAUGUAAAUGCAUUUGAAACAUGUCCUCUAAAAUGUUUCAGGUGUUAAAAUCAAUGCAUUAUGCCAUGUUGCAGUAAAAAAACAACAUUGGUUAUUUUUCUUAACUAAAAAAGAGCAUAAUAUAUAGCAUACAUUUUAUGACUUAUUUAAUCUCAUCAGUAGCGAUCUAGAUAUGGUCACAAUAAGUUAACUUGAUUCAUAAAUAAAUUAAUUUGUAGUCGAACCAGCACUACCUAACUCUUAGCCUAAUCACUACUAUCAACAUAAAUAAAUUGUUAUAUAAACAUACUCAUAUGCUUUUUUGUCCAACUUUGAUCUUCAUCAAAAGUCCAGCUUCACACAAAACAGAGAAAGCCUCGAUAAAAGGCAAUAAUCUAUGUGUUCCUGUAGGAAGAGGUGGUGAUGUAGAAGAACCUUGCAGAUUCUCAGCAACAUUUAUGUUUGACAUGUUAGGAGAGAAAGAGCUCUGUCCAAGUUGCAUCUCAGUAGAACUUAUACAAACUCAGUUAUUGCCACAAUGGCUCAAGCGUAGUGUUUAAAUUCCAAAUAGUUGCUUGAUCAUCAUGUUGAUCCACACCAUUAUUAAUAUCCAUCUCACUCACAGUAUUAAUUGAAGUGAGUGAACUAAGAGCUUGCAGCACACGUAGAAUGGCUGCACCAACCAUAGAAUUGGUGAAAGAAAUGCAUAAUAGAAUGAAAAAUAUAAUCACCGGAUCGUGUAUUUUGCACUAGUGGAUAUAGAAUGACACGGAUUCAUGCAGGAAAAGCAAUAUUCAAAGCCAUUUCUAACUAUGAUAUGAAUCACUAGCUUGGCAAAUCAUAUUGAACCAUGCAACUCUAAGAAUUAUAACAUGACUCCUAAACAAUAAUAAAAAAUAUAUAUACAACAAAGAUGUGGUUAAUUUGGGUUUGAACGGUCUAAUAAAUUGGACAAGAAAUCAAUAAAUUACAAAUGAUAAGUUAACAUUCCAAGUAAUUAAAACCAAUUAAUUUUUAUAAGAACUUGCUGGAAAAAAAUACACAUCUUUGGAUGUUCCAAUAUUUGGGCCUUAUAUUAUUUUAGUCCAUGUACUUGAAAAUGAAAGUCCACUAGAUGAUGGCAGUAGAAUGGAAAGAGAUUAAGUUGUUAGAAUGACAUCAAUUUAAAUUAUAUAUGAAACCAAAGUACUAAUAAAAUUAUCUCUCACUUUGUGCUUGUUUUGCACAUAACACACCUAUUUGUUGGAGUCAAAAGUCUCUUAUAGAGAUUAUCUCCUGUACACAAACUACAAACAAAUUCAUAAUAUCUAAUUAUAAAGUGAUGAUUUUAUUGAAUAAAAAUAUAAAGUGGUGAUUUUAUUGAAUAAAAAUAUAAAGUUAUUUAAAAAAUUUAGUUCAUAGGAAUUUUUCUAAUUUCUUUAACUCCUCUAGCCCAAUUUGCAACAAGCCCAACUAAAAUUCAGUCACGGAAAAAGAGCCAACACAGGGAGCAUCAGUAAAAAAAUUCAUGCAUUUGUGUAGAUCAAUUUAACUUGUCAAAGAUUACCCACUUGGUUUAGUGGUUGCUGCUCAAGAUUUUGGGGAAGCUCAAAGUUAUUAAGACUCAAACCGAGAAGAGUAGAUCCUAGCUGCACAAUUCACAAACCAUGUAUACUUGUAAUAAGAACAUGAUAAUUUAGCUUUCAAAACAAAUUAUUAGCUAUUCUAAAAUAUUUAUAUUGAAUAUAAACAAAAACAAAAAAAGAAGUAAAGAAUAGGUAGAGAUAAAGGUGAAGCGCAAGAAAAAUAAGCUAGGAAGUAGUAUAUAUACAACAUAACAUGGAUGGUAAUUAACUUACAAUAUUUCUCAUGGAGGGUUCCAGAGUUCAGUUCAGUGCAUUUGUAUUACUAACACGUGCCUUUUUCUGAAUUUCUAGCAAGUUUUUCAAUGCAAUUUUGUCCUCCGUUUAUAUAGACUUUAUGGCAGUCACAGUUAAUGAGAUGGUGUGAUAUCAUAUAUGCAAAUAUAUCUUCCCUUUCUUCUUUAUGAUACAUCUAUACGUACAAAGUAGGCGGUCCAGAUUUACAUGCAUGCUUAAACAAGUGGUUUAACUACUAUUAUAACCAUUACUUAAUACUUCUUAGGCAUAAAUGCAUUCCUGGCUAAUUAAGUGAUAACAUUUAUCAAUUUGUGUAGCUUUUGAAUUGAACCUAAGGAAAGAAUUUUAAAAUGAAAAAUAAAAAUCUCUAUCGUGUUCAACUUGCAUGAAAAUACUAACUCUUGCUGACCUAAUUUACUUUAAUAAAAAUGUUGAAAAUACUAACCCUUGCAAAAAUUUAAUAUGCAACAACACUCCCUUCAUAAUCUUUGAGUCACUUGGUUUUACCUUGGAAUAACACCAAAAAGUGGUCAACAGUAAUAUAAGUCUAAAUAGCAUGAAUUUUUACAACAUUUUUUUAAAUAGAGUUUGUGUGUCCAAUAAAUAUAUAGGUAUAAUUUCCCCUGCUUAGGGAUACUUUCCAACACAUGUAACUGGAAAAUUCCAUGGGAUAUCCAUGCUUAAAUGAAAUAAUACCUUGAUCCAAUCAUGAAGUAGAGAAAUAACUCUUGCAUUCUCCUAGUUCAUCCAAAGUUACUAUAGCUCCUGAAAAUCAUUUAAAAUAUAUUUAGAAAGACAAAAAUCAGAAGAACAAAACUAACAUCCAAAACUUAUUUUAAGAGUAGUUAGGAUCUCUUGGUUUUUUUUAUCAGCUAAUUAAAUUAAAGGAUACUUAAGGGGCCCUUUAACAAAAAAAUGCAAAAGCAACAAAGAUGUUCUAAUCAUCUAUGUCUCUAUUACAACCCUACACUAGUGCUUAUAACAGAGAAAUGCGCAGCUAAGAAUCCCUUUAAUGCAUCAUCAGUGCAUAAACAAGACAACACUAUAUUCCACACAUUAUGCAUCACCCUAAAAAUUCAGAAAGCACAACACUUUAAUUACAUAGGACAGAACCAGUGGUGACACUAACAAGUCAGAGGAGCAUUAUCCAAACUUCACAACAUGACCAUGAUUAGGAGGGCCUCUGGAAAACUCCCACUAGAGAAUGAUGUGAUUGGAGGAUAUGUAACUAUAAUACCAUAAAGCAUGCCACCUUCCAUCAGAAUUCCACCGCAAUACGAAAUGACUUAGCCAUGAUACUUCCUCGUGCAUAAAGAUAUGUGCCUGUUUUAUGUGUGGUAGGAAUUGAUUUCUAGACAACACCUGCAUCAACUGCAUAGACGAAUACCGCAGAAAAUAUAACAGUUUAAGGCUCCUUAGUGCAAAACGCAGGUAAUAACCAGCCAUCAAAGGAAAGGAUGAGCAAAAAACAUAUUUCAUAUCUAGAUAGAGUGAACAACCGCAUGUCCCAGGGCAUGGUUAAAUAAUGUUGCUACAAAUUCCUCGAGCCUACUCUCAUAUAUCACAAAGUAUAUCAUAAAUGAUUUUGUGGUUUUUUUCAUAAUGUUCAAAAGGGGAUUGUAUGGUAAAACUGAAAUUGUUAUAUGCUAAAGUUUUGGAAUUUGAUUAAUAUUAUUAUUGGGUUGUUAAGAUUUAAUUAGUUAGGAUUUUAUCAUUUAUUUAUUUUAUUAGGAUUUUAUCAUUUAUUUAUUUUAUUAGGAUUUUAUCAUUUAUUUAAUUAGUUAGGAUUUUAUUAGGAUUUUAUUGGGAUUUUAUGAUAUUUAGUACUCUAUAAAUAGAGUAUUGAACUAUUAUUUGAGAUAUGAAUAAUAUAUGCAAUUUGUUUCCUUUUCUCAAUUCUCUAUCAAUUCUCUAUCAUUGUUCUUGUUCUUGGUAUAAUCGGAAACCACCUAAAGGUUCCCUUUGUCCAAAGCCUAAUCGUUCUUCGAAAUCUCUUACGAGAUGACCUAGACGCUUCUACACACGAUCGUUCAUAUCAAUUGGUAUCAGCUAGGACCUUCCAGUACUUUCAAUGGCAGAUUCAACACGCUUCGCUCAAGCUGCUAAGGAGAUGGAAGAUCGAAUCUCCCAAAGGAUGGAUAAUAGGUUUCUGGAACUCGCGAAUACGUUGAAGGAAACCUUGACUCUUUCUAUAAAAGACACCAUGCAGGAAUUACUUACUCAAUCUCAAGGAGAAGGGGCCCAUGGCCUCUCCAAUGACAACAUGGGGUUUGGUGCAAUAUGCGAUGAUCCCAUGGUUGAGUUGUUGCGUUUACGACAAAAGACUUCAGUUGAUGCCUAUCAUGAAGAGUUCAAUUCAAUCAUUACAACAUUGAAGUUAUCUGAUGAUCAUAUUCUAGGGUGCUUCCUUGGUGGAUUAAAGAAAGAAAUCCAGAUGAUGGUAAGAAUGUUCCGACCUCAGUCUCUACAACAUGCGUUUACAUUGGCCAGGACGUAUGAAGGACAUAAUUCAAGCAAUUCGAUGGCCAAAUUCCACAGGGGAGUCUUGGGUCCAGCACCAGUGCCUAUAUCGUCGUCUGCUUCAAUCAAUGUGGCCCCUAAACCCAAACCAACACACCACUUCCCACUUGAGUUCAUAGCAGAACGUAGGGCCAAAGACCUUCUUCACGUCAUGGAGAUGGAGGAAGAUGACUCAUAUGAUAGUCCUCCCAGUUAUGUGACUGAAUUAUUGCAAAGGAAUGAGCCACAAAUCACAGUCAACGCAUUAACCAUAGUGGUUGGGUUCAGAACCAUGAGAAUAGUUGGAUAUCAUAAAAAACGACCUUUACAUAUUCUCAUUGAUAGUGGCAGCACUCAUAAUUUCAAAGAUACCCAAAUGGAUAAAAAAUAUGGGUGCAUAAUUGAUACGAUUGCCCAUUUGAAUGUCAUGGUAAGCUGAGCUCUACCACAAACCUUAAAAAAAUUAAGAAGGUUUUUGGGCUUAGCUGGAUAUUAUAGAAGAUUUGUUCGUGGGUAUGACGUCAUUGCUACACCUGAUAUGCUUAAGAAGGAUAAUUUCAUUUGAAGACGAAGUACCAUUGUUCCAUUCUUGAGGGCAAGAAUGUUGUUGAGGGGAGGGCAUUGUUAUAUGCUAAAGUUUUGGGAUUUGAUUAAUAUUAUUAUUGGGUUGUUAAGAUUUAAUUAGUUAGGAUUUUAUCAUUUAUUUAUUUUAUUAGGAUUUUAUUAGGAUUUUAUCAUUUAUUUAAUUAGUUAGGAUUUUGUUAGGAUUUUAUUAGGAUUUUAUGAUAUUUAGUACUCUAUAAAUAGAGUAUUGAACUAUUAUUUGAGAUAUGAAUAAUAUAUGCAAUUUGUUUCCUUUUCUCAAUUCUCUAUCAAUUCUCUAUCAUUGUUCUUGUUCUUGGUAUAAUCGGAAACCACCUAAAGGUUCCCUUUGUCCAAAGCCUAAUCGUUCUUCGAAAUCUCUUACGAGAUGACCUAGACGCUUCUACACACGAUCGUUCAUAUCAGAAAUCGAGAAAGAAAAACUCAAAAAAAUUUAUUCCAAUCAAAUAAUCUUACCUCUGACGGUAGGGUUUGACUCGCUAAUGGAUGCACUAUUCUUUGCCACUUCACUACUUCGAUUUUUCAAAGUUAGGGUUGAAUACGAAAAUCGUGUGCUCUCAAAUGGGGAAGCUUCACUCUUAGAUUUCGAUUUUGGGUUUCGAUUUGGCAACGAGUUUCAUACAUUGGAUUUGGAAACCAGUAAGCUUUGGGAUUUCGCUUUUGGGAUUUGGCUUUUGGAUCUGGGAACAAAGUUCAGAGCUUUAAUUUGGAAACAUGGUUGAAAGUUUUGAUUUGUGAACGCAAUUUAGAGGUUUGAUCUGGCAACGACGUUCAGAGCUUUGGUUUGGAAACAACCUUCAGAGGUGAGAUUAAGAGGUUCAAAGGUGUUCUCAUUCAGGAUGGGCAUUUGUUUCUGAAACCAAAACAUUUUCAAAAUUUUCCAAACAAAAAAAA